UGUGCUUUCAGGAUCAGUAUG
Molecule: non-coding RNA, 21 nt
Filed under: Caenorhabditis elegans
Lineage: Eukaryota; Metazoa; Nematoda; Chromadorea; Rhabditida; Rhabditidae
Source: RNAcentral